GAUGAACGCUGGCGGCGUGCCUAAUACAUGCAAGUCGAGCGAACAGACGAGGAGCUUGCUCCUCUGACGUUAGCGGCGGACGGGUGAGUAACACGUGGAUAACCUACCUAUAAGACUGGGAUAACUUCGGGAAACCGGAGCUAAUACCGGAUAAUAUAUUGAACCGCAUGGUUCAAUAGUGAAAGACGGUUUUGCUGUCACUUAUAGAUGGAUCCGCGCCGCAUUAGCUAGUUGGUAAGGUAACGGCUUACCAAGGCAACGAUGCGUAGCCGACCUGAGAGGGUGAUCGGCCACACUGGAACUGAGACACGGUCCAGACUCCUACGGGAGGCAGCAGUAGGGAAUCUUCCGCAAUGGGCGAAAGACUGACGGAGAAACGCCGCGUGAGUGAUGAAGGUCUUCGGAUCGUAAAACUCUGUUAUUAGGGAAGAACAAAUGUGUAAGUAACUAUGCACGUCUUGACGGUACCUAAUCAGAAAGCCACGGCUAACUACGUG
Molecule: ribosomal RNA, 497 nt
Filed under: uncultured bacterium
Lineage: Bacteria
Description: partial 16S ribosomal RNA
Rfam family: Bacterial small subunit ribosomal RNA
Source: RNAcentral